Molecule: ribosomal RNA, 406 nt
Filed under: uncultured bacterium
Lineage: Bacteria
Description: partial 16S ribosomal RNA
Rfam family: Bacterial small subunit ribosomal RNA
Source: RNAcentral
AUUGAACGCUGGCGGCAGGCCUAACACAUGCAAGUCGAACGAGCGGCGGACGGGUGAGUAAUGUCUGGGACCCUGCCUGAUGGAGGGGGAUAACUACUGGAAACGGUAGCUAAUACCGCAUACCAUCAGAUGUGCCCAUAUGGGAUUAGCUAGUUGGUGGGGUAAAGGCUCACCUAGGCGACGAUCCCUAGCUGGUCUGAGAGGAUGACCAGCAACACUGGAACUGAGACACGGCCCAGACGCCUACGGGAGGCAGCAGUGGGGAAUAUUGCACAAUGGGCGAAAGCCUGAUGCAGCCAUGCCGCGUGUAUGAAGAAGGCCUUCGGGUUGUAAAGUACUUUCAGCGGGGAGGCGUUACCCGCAGAAGAAGCACCGGCUAACUCCGUGCCAGCAGCCGCGGUAAUAC